AUUAAAUAGAGUUUGAUCCUGGCUCAGAAUAAAUGCUAUUGGUAUGCUUAACACAUGCAAGUUGAAUGUUUAAUUUUUAAACAUAGCGAACGGGUGAGUAACGCGUGAAUUAUCUACCUUUUAAUUCAGGAUAAUUAUUUUAUAUAAAAAUACUGAAUAAUUUUAAUAAAGUUUUAAUAACGUUAAAAGAUGAGUUUGCGUAAGAUUAGGUAGUUGGUAGUUUAAAAGACUACCAAGCCGACUAUCUUUAGCUGGUUUGAAAGAAUGAUCAGCCACAUUGGGACUGAGACACGGCCCAAACUUUUUUAAAGGCAGCAGUGGGGAAUUUUGGACAAUGAGCGAAAGCUUGAUCCAGCAAUACCAAGUGAGUGAAGAAGGCUAAUUAG
This 386-nucleotide non-coding RNA is filed under the name Globisporangium ultimum DAOM BR144. RNAcentral describes it as "Pythium ultimum DAOM BR144 Bacterial small subunit ribosomal RNA". It matches the Rfam family "Bacterial small subunit ribosomal RNA", at positions 1 to 422 of the family's 1533-position model. Lineage: Eukaryota; Oomycota; Peronosporomycetes; Pythiales; Pythiaceae. The record is from Rfam by way of RNAcentral.